UACGGAGGGUGCGAGCGUUGUCCGGAAUCACUGGGCGUAAAGGGCGCGUAGGCGGCGCGGGCAGUCAACGGUGAAAACUCGAGGCUCAACCUCGAGACGCCGAUGGAAACCAUCAGACUAGAGUCCGGAAGAGGAGAGUGGAAUUCCUGGUGUAGCGGUGAAAUGCGCAGAUAUCAGGAAGAACACCCGUGGCUAAGGCGGCUCUCUAGUACGGUACUGACGCUGAGACGCGAAAGCGUGGGGAGCGAACAGG
RNAcentral lists this ribosomal RNA (253 nucleotides) under uncultured bacterium. RNAcentral describes it as "partial 16S ribosomal RNA". It matches the Rfam family "Bacterial small subunit ribosomal RNA", at positions 524 to 776 of the family's 1533-position model. The record is from RNAcentral.